Molecule: ribosomal RNA, 647 nt
Filed under: uncultured bacterium
Lineage: Bacteria
Description: bacterial SSU rRNA
Rfam family: Bacterial small subunit ribosomal RNA
Source: RNAcentral
CGCAAAGGCUGAAAACUCAAAGGAAUUGACGGGGACCCGCACAACGGUGGAGCAUGUGGUUUAAUUCGAAGCAACGCGAAGAACCUUACCAGGUCUUGACAUCCCACUGACCGGUGUAGAGAUACGCCUUUCCCUUCGGGGACAGUGGUGACAGGUGGUGCAUGGUUGUCGUCAGCUCGUGUCGUGAGAUGUUGGGUUAAGUCCCGCAACGAGCGCAACCCUUGAUCUUAGUUGCCAGCAUUCAGUUGGGCACUCUAAGGUGACUGCCGGUGAUAAACCGGAGGAAGGUGGGGAUGACGUCAAAUCAUCAUGCCCCUUAUGACCUGGGCUACACACGUGCUACAAUGGAUGAUACAGAGGGUUGCCAACCCGCGAGGGGGAGCCAAUCCCAUAAAAUCAUUCCCAGUUCGGAUUGGAGGCUGCAACUCGCCUCCAUGAAGCCGGAAUCGCUAGUAAUCGUGGAUCAGCAUGCCACGGUGAAUACGUUCCCGGGUCUUGUACACACCGCCCGUCACACCACGAGAGUUUGUAACACCCGAAGUCGGUGGGGUAACCCUUACGGGAGCCAGCCGCCGAAGGUGGGACAGCACUGAUUGGGGUGAAGUCGUAACAAGGUAGCCGUAUCGGAAGGUGCGGCUGGAUCACCU